Molecule: transfer RNA, 69 nt
Filed under: Puntigrus partipentazona
Lineage: Eukaryota; Metazoa; Chordata; Actinopteri; Cypriniformes; Cyprinidae
Description: tRNA-Met
Source: RNAcentral
GGCAAGGUCAGCUAAUUAAGCUUUCGGGUCCAUACCCCGAACAUGGCGGUUAAAAUCCCACCCCUACCA